CCUACGGGGUGCAGCAGUGGGGAAUAUUGGGCAAUGGACGCAAGUCUGACCCAGCAACGCCGCGUGAAGGAAGAAGGCUUUCGGGUUGUAAACUUCUUUUAAGGGGGAAGAGCAGAAGACGGUACCCCUUGAAUAAGCCACGGCUAACUACGUGCCAGCAGCCGUGGUAAUACGUAGGUGGCAAGCGUUGUCCGGAUUUACUGGGUGUAAAGGGCGUGCAGCCGGGAAGACAAGUCAGAUGUGAAAUCCCGCGGCUCAACCGCGGAACUGCAUUUGAAACUGUUUUUCUUGAGUAUCGGAGAGGUAAUCGGAAUUCCUAGUGUAGCGGUGAAAUGCGUAGAUAUUAGGAAGAACACCAGUGGCGAAGGCGACCUGCUAGAACAUAACUGACGCUGAUGCGCGAAAGCGUGGGGAGCAAACAGGAUUAGAUACCCCUGUAGUC
This 442-nucleotide ribosomal RNA is filed under the name uncultured bacterium. RNAcentral describes it as "partial 16S ribosomal RNA". It matches the Rfam family "Bacterial small subunit ribosomal RNA", at positions 338 to 795 of the family's 1533-position model. The record is from RNAcentral.